UGGAGGUGAUGAGCUGGCUUGGCCUGACUUUGGAAUGAAGGCAAGAAAACUGAUUUAAUGAGCCUGAUCC
This is a small nucleolar RNA of Jaculus jaculus (lesser Egyptian jerboa), 70 nucleotides long. The record is from Ensembl. Lineage: Eukaryota; Metazoa; Chordata; Mammalia; Rodentia; Dipodidae.